This 396-nucleotide unclassified non-coding RNA is filed under the name soil metagenome. RNAcentral describes it as "partial contains 5.8S ribosomal RNA, internal transcribed spacer 2, and large subunit ribosomal RNA". The stretch from base 1 to 122 matches the Rfam family "5.8S ribosomal RNA", at positions 35 to 154 of the family's 154-position model. The record is from RNAcentral.
GAUGAAGAACGUAGCGAAAUGCGAUACUUGGUGUGAAUUGCAGAAUCCCGUGAACCAUCGAGUCUUUGAACGCAAGUUGCGCCCGAAGCCAUCAGGUUGAGGGCACGUCUGCCUGGGCGUCACAUAUCGUUGCCCAAUGCCUAUUGCAGUGCAAUAGGAAUUUCUAGGGCGAAUGAUGGCUUCCCGUGAGCGUUGUUGCCUCGCGGUUGGUUGAAAAUCGAGUCCUUGGUAGGGUGUGCCAUGUUAGAUGGUGGUCGAGUUAGAACGAUACCGAUCAUGUGCAUGCUCCCCAAAAUAUGGCCUCUAUGACCCACACGCGUCUUUUGACGCUCAUGACGAGACCUCAGGUCAGGCGGGGCUACCCGCUGAAUUUAAGCAUAUCCAAUAAGCGGAGGA